Molecule: ribosomal RNA, 253 nt
Filed under: uncultured bacterium
Lineage: Bacteria
Description: partial 16S ribosomal RNA
Rfam family: Bacterial small subunit ribosomal RNA
Source: RNAcentral
UACGGAGGGGGCUAGCGUUGUUCGGAAUUACUGGGCGUAAAGCGCACGUAGGCGGAUUGGAAAGUUGGGGGUGAAAUCCCGGGGCUCAACCCCGGAACUGCCUUCAAAACUCCCAGUCUGGAGGUCGAGAGAGGUGAGUGGAAUUCCGAGUGUAGAGGUGAAAUUCGUAGAUAUUCGGAGGAACACCAGUGGCGAAGGCGGCUCACUGGUCCGGUACUGACGCUGAGGUGCGAAAGCGUGGGGAGCAAACAGG